AUUGAACGCUGGCGGCAGGCCUAACACAUGCAAGUCGAACGGUAACAGGAAGAAGCUUGCUUCUUUGCUGACGAGUGGCGGACGGGUGAGUAAUGUCUGGGAAACUGCCUGAUGGAGGGGGAUAACUACUGGAAACGGUAGCUAAUACCGCAUAACGUCGCAAGACCAAAGAGGGGGACCUUCGGGCCUCUUGCCAUCGGAUGUGCCCAGAUGGGAUUAGCUAGUAGGUGGGGUAACGGCUCACCUAGGCGACGAUCCCUAGCUGGUCUGAGAGGAUGACCAGCCACACUGGAACUGAGACACGGUCCAGACUCCUACGGGAGGCAGCAGUGGGGAAUAUUGCACAAUGGGCGCAAGCCUGAUGCAGCCAUGCCGCGUGUAUGAAGAAGGCCUUCGGGUUGUAAAGUACUUUCAGCGGGGAGGAAGGGAGUAAAGUUAAUACCUUUGCUCAUUGACGUUACCCGCAGAAGAAGCACCGGCUAACUACGUGCCAGCAGCCGCGGUAAUACGUAGGGUGCAAGCGUUAAUCGGAAUUACUGGGCGUAAAGCGCACGCAGGCGGUUUGUUAAGUCAGAUGUGAAAUCCCCGGGCUCAACCUGGGAACUGCAUCUGAUACUGGCAAGCUUGAGUCUCGUAGAGGGGGGUAGAAUUCCAGGUGUAGCGGUGAAAUGCGUAGAGAUCUGGAGGAAUACCGGUGGCGAAGGCGGCCCCCUGGACGAAGACUGACGCUCAGGUGCGAAAGCGUGGGGAGCAAACAGG
RNAcentral lists this ribosomal RNA (759 nucleotides) under uncultured Enterobacteriaceae bacterium. Its description in RNAcentral is "bacterial SSU rRNA". It matches the Rfam family "Bacterial small subunit ribosomal RNA", at positions 28 to 776 of the family's 1533-position model. The record is from RNAcentral. Lineage: Bacteria; Pseudomonadati; Pseudomonadota; Gammaproteobacteria; Enterobacterales; Enterobacteriaceae.